RNAcentral lists this ribosomal RNA (253 nucleotides) under uncultured bacterium. RNAcentral describes it as "partial 16S ribosomal RNA". It matches the Rfam family "Bacterial small subunit ribosomal RNA", at positions 524 to 776 of the family's 1533-position model. The record is from RNAcentral.
UCCGAAGGGGGCUAUCGUUGUUCGGAAUCACUGGGCGUAAAGCGCGUGUAGGCGGAUAUGCAAGCAAGAGGUGAAAGCCCAGGGCUUAACCUUGGAACUGCCUUUUGAACUGCAUAUCUGGAGUUUUGGAGGGGAGUGUGGAAUUCCUAAUGUAGAGGUGAAAUUCGUAGAGAUUAGGAGGAACACCGGUGGCGAAGGCGGCACUCUGGACAAAUACUGACGCUGAGACGCGAAAGCGUGGGGAGAAAACAGG